UUAAGUUGGGCACUCUAAGUUGACUGCCGGUGACAAACCGGAGGAAGGUGGGGAUGACGUCAAAUCAUCAUGCCCCUUAUGAUUUGGGCUACACACGUGCUACAAUGGACAAUACAAAGGGCAGCGAAACCGCGAGGUCAAGCAAAUCCCAUAAAGUUGUUCUCAGUUCGGAUUGUAGUCUGCAACUCGACUAUAUGAAGCUGGAAUCGCUAGUAAUCGUAGAUCAGCAUGCUACGGUGAAUA
RNAcentral lists this ribosomal RNA (243 nucleotides) under Staphylococcus epidermidis. Its description in RNAcentral is "partial 16S ribosomal RNA". It matches the Rfam family "Bacterial small subunit ribosomal RNA", at positions 1126 to 1368 of the family's 1533-position model. Lineage: Bacteria; Bacillati; Bacillota; Bacilli; Caryophanales; Staphylococcaceae. The record is from RNAcentral.